Ribosomal RNA from Danio rerio (zebrafish), 117 nucleotides. Lineage: Eukaryota; Metazoa; Chordata; Actinopteri; Cypriniformes; Danionidae. The record is from Ensembl.
UGCCACAGCCAUAUCACCCUGCAGCCCAAGACCGGUUAUUUACUUAAGCUAAGCAGGGCUGAGCCUAGUCAGUACCAGGAUGGUAGACUACAUGAGAAAAAUAGGAUGCUGUUGGAU